This 440-nucleotide ribosomal RNA is filed under the name uncultured bacterium. RNAcentral describes it as "partial 16S ribosomal RNA". It matches the Rfam family "Bacterial small subunit ribosomal RNA", at positions 338 to 795 of the family's 1533-position model. The record is from RNAcentral.
CCUACGGGUGGCAGCAGUGGGGAAUAUUGGACAAUGGGGGGAACCCUGAUCCAGCGACGCCGCGUGAGUGAAGAAGGAUUUCGGUAUGUAAAGCUCUAUCAGCAGGGAAGAAAAGGACGGUACCUGACUAAGAAGCCACGGCUAACUACGGGCCAGCAGCCGCGGGAAUACGGAGGGGGCAAGCGUGAUCCGGAUUUACUGGGGGUAAAGGGAGCGUAGACGGUGCAGCAAGUCUGAUGUGAAAGGUCGGGGCCCAACCCCGGGACUGCAUUUGAAACUGUUGAACUGGAGUACAGGAGAGUUAAGCGGAAUUCCUAGUGUAGCGGUGACAUGCGUCGAUAUUAGGAGGAACACCAGUGGCGACGGCGGCUUACUGGACUGUAACUGACGUUGAGGCUCGAAAGCGUGGGGAGCAAACAGGAUUAGAUACCCCUGUAGUC